GGGGUUGUGGCUCAGUGGUAGAGCACUCGCCUAGCAUGUGCGAGGCCCUGGGUUCAAUUCUCAUCACCA
Molecule: transfer RNA, 69 nt
Filed under: Ictidomys tridecemlineatus (thirteen-lined ground squirrel)
Lineage: Eukaryota; Metazoa; Chordata; Mammalia; Rodentia; Sciuridae
Description: Spermophilus tridecemlineatus (thirteen-lined ground squirrel) tRNA
Rfam family: tRNA
About the family: Transfer RNA (tRNA) molecules are approximately 80 nucleotides in length. Their secondary structure includes four short double-helical elements and three loops (D, anti-codon, and T loops). Further hydrogen bonds mediate the characteristic L-shaped molecular structure. tRNAs have two regions of fundamental functional importance: the anti-codon, which is responsible for specific mRNA codon recognition, and the 3' end, to which the tRNAs corresponding amino acid is attached (by aminoacyl-tRNA synthetases). tRNAs cope with the degeneracy of the genetic code in two manners: having more than one tRNA (with a specific anti-codon) for a particular amino acid; and 'wobble' base-pairing, i.e. permitting non-standard base-pairing at the 3rd anti-codon position.
Source: Rfam by way of RNAcentral